RNAcentral lists this ribosomal RNA (405 nucleotides) under uncultured bacterium. RNAcentral describes it as "bacterial SSU rRNA". It matches the Rfam family "Bacterial small subunit ribosomal RNA", at positions 28 to 415 of the family's 1533-position model. The record is from RNAcentral.
GAUGAACGCUGGCGGCGUGCUUAACACAUGCAAGUCGAGCGGAGAUAUAAAAAGGAAGCCCUUCGGGGUGGAAUUUUUACAUCUUAGCGGCGGACGGGUGCGUAACACGUGGGUAACCUGCCCCUAUCACUGGGAUAACACACUGAAAAGUGUGCUAAUACCAGAUAAUAUAAGCUUUUGGCAUCGUUAGCUUAUCAAAGAAUUUCGGAUAGGGAUGGGCCCGCGUCUGAUUAGCUAGUUGGUGAGGUAACGGCUCACCAAGGCAACGAUCAGUAGCCGACCUGAGAGGGUGAUCGGCCACACUGGAACUGAGACACGGUCCAGACUCCUACGGGAGGCAGCAGUGGGGAAUAUUGCACAAUGGGCGAAAGCCUGAUGCAGCAACGCCGCGUGAGCGAUGAAGGC